AUGGUCGCCGCCGGAGCUCUCCACGCUGGCAGCCGUGUCCUCCUACCGAUCCGCCGAAGCUUCAGCACACCCUGGUCCCACGUCCGCUCCCACCUCCACUCCACCAAGCCCCCUUCUGCUCCACUCCCGCCCCCACCUCCGCCGCCGCCUUCUUCCCACGCGGCGUCCACGCGCUUCACCCCUACCACUAGGAGAAGCGGAUCAAUCGGGUCCGGGGUAGUCACGUGGUACCUCGGCUCGAUCGAGGCGCGGCCGCUGCUGACCAAGAGCAUCACGGCUGCCACAAUUUACACCGUUGCCGACCUCACCUCCCAGAUGAUCACACUUCCUGCUGAGGAGUCACUCGAUCUAGUUAGGACUCUGCGCAUGGCUAGUUAUGGGAUGCUGUUCUCAGGACCUUCACUGCACUAUUGGUUCAACUUUAUCUCAAAAGUAGUCCCCAAAAAGGAUGUAGUGAGCACCUUCAAGAAGAUGUUUCUAGGACAAGCAGUUUAUGGCCCAAUUAUUAAUUGUAUUUUCUUCUCAUAUAAUGCAGGAUUACAAGGUGAGACAAUCCCAGAGAUCAUUGCAAGAUUAAAGCGGGAUAUAAUUCCGACCAUCAAAAGUGGCCUCAUUUAUUGGCCUCUUUGUGACUUCAUCACUUUCAAGUUUAUCCCUGUUCAUUUGCAGCCGCUAGUAAGCAAUUCCUUUGCGUUUCUUUGGACCAUCUACCUAACAUACAUGGCCGGCUUAAAGAAACCAGGCGUGGAGGUGAUCACGAGCUCUUAG
This 768-nucleotide ribosomal RNA is filed under the name Triticum aestivum (bread wheat). Its description in RNAcentral is "partial small subunit ribosomal RNA". Lineage: Eukaryota; Viridiplantae; Streptophyta; Magnoliopsida; Poales; Poaceae. The record is from RNAcentral.